RNAcentral lists this ribosomal RNA (1401 nucleotides) under Terpios hoshinota. Its description in RNAcentral is "16S ribosomal RNA". It matches the Rfam family "Bacterial large subunit ribosomal RNA", at positions 478 to 2139 of the family's 2925-position model. The record is from RNAcentral. Lineage: Eukaryota; Metazoa; Porifera; Demospongiae; Suberitida.
AACAUACCGAUAGUGUACGAGUACUGUGAAGGAAAGUUGAAAGAGAUAAUAUAUACUUAAAUGAAAUAGAUUCUGAAAUUUGUUAUUUACAAGCAGACGAAAUUCGUCGUACCUUUUGCAUAAUGGGUUCGUGAGAAAAAUAUUUGGCAAACUUAAGUAUAUAAACGCAGGUGAAGUGAAAAUGAGUUUUAAUAUUAAGAGCUUUAGUCAAAUAGAGCCCGAAACCUAGUGAGCUAACCAUGGGCAGUUUGAAGCGUCUCUAAUAGGAAGUGGAGGAACGAACUGGUGAUUGUGGCAAAAAUCUCAGAUGAUCUGUGGUUAGGGGUAAAAAGCCAAUCGAACUAGGAAAUAGCUGGUUUUCUGCGAAAGCUAUUUAAGUAGUGCGUCAUCUAACUAUUCUUACAGAGUAAAGCACUGAAUGGAGACAUCUAUAGGGUGUAUUCAACCAAACUAUGAAAGUGUAAGAAGAAAGAUGAUAGACAGACAGCGGGCGAGAAGGUCCCUUGUCAAAAAGGAAACAACCUAGACCAGAAGUUAAGGUCAUAAAAAUUUACUAAGUGUAAAAGGAGCCUAUACAUCGAGACAACAAGAAAGUGGGCUUGGAGCCAGCCAUCUUUGAAAGAUUACGUAACAGUUCACUUGAUAAAUUUAUGGGUUUCUAAAAUUUUGGUGGCUUAAGUUUAUUUUAAGAUAACCGAGACUCUGGAUAAAUGGUAGCAGAACGUUCUGUAAUUUAUAAAUUACGAAAGUUUAUCAGAAGUGAUAAUGCGAGCAUGAGUAAACAACAGUGUGAGAAUCACUGUCAUAGCCCUAGGUUUCCAAUAGUAGAGAUUAUCAUGAUUGGGUUAUACAGCCCCUAAGAGUAUAUCAAUGGGAAAAAAUUAAUAAGUGAAAAGUUUAAUUUAAUAAGCUGUACUUAAACUAACACAAGUGGGCGUAAAGUGAUGGUAUAAUUUAUCUUAAGGAACUCGGCAAAAUGACCCUGUAAGAUAGCGAGAAGGGGUGCCUAAUCGGCGCAAUCCUUUUAUUGCGCCGAUUAGGCUUCAGAAAAGAGGGGGUGUCGACUGUUUACCAAAAACAUAGCUUCCACCAAAGGCCUGUGAGGCUGAAGCAUUGGAGGUGAGGCCUGCCCAGUGGUUGUAUCUCAACCCAUGUUAUUAAUGAAGUAACAUGAUUAAGGACAAUUAAAUGGCCGCGGUAAAUCUGACCGUGAUAAUGUAGCGCAAUCAAUAGCCAAUUAAUUGUUGGCAAGUAUGAAUGGCGUAACGAAUGCCCCACUGUCUCAAGAUAAAAACCAAUGAAAUUGAAAUCGUGGUGAAGAUGCCACGUGCAAAUUGUAAGACGAGAAGACCCCAUUGAGCUUUACUGGAGGCUUAUAUUGUUUUUUUCAAAUUAAUGUGU